This 969-nucleotide long non-coding RNA is filed under the name Setaria italica (foxtail millet). RNAcentral's name for it is "long non-coding RNA (SITA_LNC000507)". The record is from RNAcentral. Lineage: Eukaryota; Viridiplantae; Streptophyta; Magnoliopsida; Poales; Poaceae.
UUCGGUAGGUCCCUGCUGGGUUUCUGAAAACAACAACAAGGGAUCCCCUGAGUACGAAGUACUCAGCAAGUCUUACCCGACUAACCAAUAUAAUAGCUUUCUUUGGAAGGGUAUGCUUAGCUUUUUGGUGUACUUGGCUAAUGCAGUUUUUGCCGAAAAGCUUACUACAAGUGAUACCUUAGUUUUAUCUUUUUUUUGGGUUAAGUUAUUACCUAACCAUUCUAAAUGAUAGCAGAAGUAAAAACAACCACAGCUGUUAAAUCAUACAGUACUUGGCAACAGGAGAUUUUAUAUCGCAUGAGUUCAUUCUACGAAGCUUAACAGCGAUCAAGUGCAUUCAUAACCGAGAAUUGCGGCGAUCCGGAUCUAAUUACAUCCUGCAGGAGAGUACCCUGAUCACCAGCAUUAUACGACUGUUCCGGUCGUAUCUCACAACCUCUCGAUUAGCAAAGUCAAUGAUUAGGAAUACAACUACCCGGACCCAGGGAUGCACCCCCACAUGGGACCCCACGUCUGGCCUGAUCUCCAUGUGAGUUUCAGGCUACACCCCUGCCAAUCUCCAGCACGUCAAAUGCGGGUACGAGGCAUUCCUGAUCAUAGAAUUUACUAAUCUACUGGGCUUUACUGGUCCCAUACCUAGUAAGUGAUCAGAUGUUAUCACUUGAUCAAUGGUUAAGACACGGAUCGGUCCUUAACCAGAUUAAUCUAACAGACAGAACUACAUCUCUAGCUUCUGUCCCUUUCCAUAUUCCAAACUGUCCUUCAUAAGCAACAUGUAUGACUUAAGAGUUUUCCUUAAGGUUGGUAAACCAAGCAUGUAAGCAAGUAAGGAUUUCUAGACUUGGGUUGUCUUCUAAGGUUUGAACAAGUGGCAAAGAUGUCCUUAAAACAAGGUAUGAUCGUACACAAGAAUAGGUUUCAAGCAACUCAUAGACUUAGUGCAUACAUAUAUCAAAUGACCGAUAAUUG